This is a long non-coding RNA of Mytilus trossulus (common blue mussel), 217 nucleotides long. RefSeq lists it as uncharacterized. The transcript has 3 exons. The record is from RefSeq and is a predicted model, not a curated record. NCBI's taxonomy places the organism in Eukaryota, Metazoa, Mollusca, Bivalvia, Mytilida, Mytilidae.
GAUUUAAAGGCACAGAUAUUGUCGACAUCAGGAUGGUUUACCGUGGUAUGGAAUGAUAGCCGAUUGGCCUGGACAAAAUCGUCUUAUGGAAAUGUUGAAUAUAUAUAUGUUCCCGAGGAAGUAGUUUGGCACCCCGAAUUGAUUGUGCAGAAUUCGGUUUUGGAAUUAAGAAAAAAUCUUGGUGCUGAAAAGACAGUCCGUAUAAAAUAUGAUGGUG